Molecule: microRNA precursor, 95 nt
Filed under: Canis lupus familiaris (dog)
Lineage: Eukaryota; Metazoa; Chordata; Mammalia; Carnivora; Canidae
Also listed under: 1 other name
Description: mir-8834 microRNA precursor family
Rfam family: mir-8834 microRNA precursor family
Source: Rfam by way of RNAcentral
AGGAGGAACAGCCCUAGUGGCGGGGCCAGGUCUGGAAACCUGGAUUCAGCUCCGGCAGGAACUCCGUCUGCAGGGCCUGGAGGCUCCGGGCGGGG